CUGCACUUUUUCUUCAUUUUUCAAUUUUCCAAAGGAAUAAAAGCACUGAAAACCACUGCCUCAAAGAAUUUAAUAAGAAUGUUUCAAAUAGAAAGUGACCUUAAAUCAGGUAGAGUUGCCAGCAAUUAAUAAUAAAAUUUAGAAUUCUGGUCCCCUCUUAUAUUUCAUGUAUAUGUAACAUGCUCCAGGGGGCUCGGUAACACCAGCCUAGGAUCCUGAAUGUCCUCAAAAGGGUUCUAACAGAUUGAAGGCUCUGCUUACAUGUUAUUUAUUAGAAAAUCCUGGCCACUUAAGUCUUUUACAGACAUCAAAUAAAUAGCUUCAUUAAUAAAGACACUCCUUGAGAUGAACAACAUUUCCUCCUCACUCCAAGAAGAUUCUACCUUAAAGAGAUCAUUUCUUCUGGUCUUCUGUCAACGAUGGACAAAUCUAUUAGUAAUCACUGACUGUAAAGUAUCCACAGGACUGCUCCCAGGAAACUAUCAAGACUAAGCAAGAAGAUCGUGGACCAAAGGUCCCUGUCUUAAUGCCUAAAGUUAAAAAGAAAAGAAUUUUCUGCUGCUAACGUAUGAAGACAAGAUGUACAGCAAGACAUAUAUGCCUUUAAAGCAUUUUACAAGAACCAAGAAAACGUGGAACUUUUAAAACCUUCACUGAACUGGAAGAAAAGCACACAAGUGAGUUUACUGGUAACAAUCAUGUUGCUAAAUUUCUAGCUCAAGCAACAACUCUAAAAAUAUGUCACUACUAUGGCAUAAUCUAAUUUUGAAGGUGCAAUAAAGUACU
Mustela erminea (ermine) is the source of this 786-nucleotide long non-coding RNA. RefSeq lists it as uncharacterized. The record is from RefSeq and is a predicted model, not a curated record. Lineage: Eukaryota; Metazoa; Chordata; Mammalia; Carnivora; Mustelidae. The transcript is spliced from 3 exons.